This 765-nucleotide ribosomal RNA is filed under the name uncultured bacterium. RNAcentral describes it as "bacterial SSU rRNA". It matches the Rfam family "Bacterial small subunit ribosomal RNA", at positions 634 to 1398 of the family's 1533-position model. The record is from RNAcentral.
UUCCGGGCUGGAGGUAGGUAGGAGAGAUCAGAAAUUCCUGGUGUAGCGGUGAAAUGCGCAGAUAUCAGGAGGAACACCGGUGGCGAAAGCGGAUCUCUGAGCCUUACCUGACGCUGAGGCGCGAAAGCUAGAGGAGCGAACAGGAUUAGAUACCCUGGUAGUCCUAGCCGUAAACGUUGGGUGCUAGGUGUGGGCGGACAUCGACCCCGUCCGUGCCGAAGCUAACGCAUUAAGCACCCCGCCUGGGGAGUACGGCCGCAAGGCUAAAACUCAAAGGAAUUGACGGGGGCCCGCACAAGCGGCGGAGCAUGCGGCUUAAUUCGAUGCGACGCGAAGAACCUUACCUGGGCUUGACAUGCAGGGCAAAGCCGGUGGAAGCCGGCGCUCUACGGAGCCUGCACAGGUGGUGCAUGGCUGUCGUCAGCUCGUGCCGUGAGGUGUUGCCUUAAGUGGCGCAACGAGCGCAACCCUUGUCCUUAGUUGCCAGCGGGUAAAGCCGGGAACUCUAGGGAGACUGCCGGUGCCAAACCGGAGGAAGGUGGGGAUGACGUCAAGUCAUCAUGCCCCUUAUGUCCAGGGCUGCACGCAUGCUACAAUGCGCGGUACAAAGGGCUGCGAUCCCGCAAGGGGGAGCGAAUCCCAAAAAGCCGCGCUCAGUUCGGAUCGGGGUCUGCAACCCGACCCCGUGAAGUCGGAGUCGCUAGUAAUCGCAGAUCAGCAAUGCUGCGGUGAAUACGUUCCCGGGCCUUGUACACACCGCCCGUA